UUGCAACCGCCUCCUGUCAAAAUUUUAUUUUUCAAAUAGACAAUAGGCAAUUCCAAAACAUCUAGUAGAAUGGACUUUGACAAAUUGAUUGCAUUUUAAGGAAGUAUUAUUAUUUUGGAAGUAUUAGCGUUAUAAAAGCCUUAAGUCGGUAUCUAAGAUGAGUGAAAAGCGAAGACCCAAUCAUUAUUGGUUAAUGGAUCCAUGGUACAAUCAACAAUACGUUAAAAAGCGCAAGAAAGCAGAACAGCCCCAGAGAACUACUACCGAUAAUCUUAUCAACGAUGGCGUCAAUGAGGUUUUCAUAGAAUCAGGAGAAAGUUUGCAAACAGAUACUUCUUCGGAUAUCUCCGAUGACAACAACACAAUCAAUCCAACAGAAGUAAACAGUUCAUUUUCAGUAGCAUCAGAAAGUGAAUUACCGGACCUUCACUAUAAUGAAUUACACGUUUCCAAUGAAGCCACAGAUCAGGAAGAUUCUCAAUCCGAUUUUAGCAGGCAAACGAGUUCGUGUAAUGCAUCGGAAGUGCCAAGUGAUUUCGAUAAUCAGAACAGGGAAGGAAUAGAGGAAUCGGUGAGAUGUUUUCUUAUGGGAUCCAACCACAAUGUUGCAUUAGAACUUUCACAAAAAUCUAUGAAGAUCUGACGAAAGAAACAUCAAACAUUGUCACUGUUCUAAUUAGCUGUUUGCAGUGGUGCAAAAUAUAAAAUUAGAAGAUCAGGAUCGAUGGAUUGCUAUUUCAGCGUUUGUGAAAUGUGAAUAAAGGCAGAAAUCGGAA
Molecule: long non-coding RNA, 776 nt
Organism: Aedes aegypti (yellow fever mosquito)
Lineage: Eukaryota; Metazoa; Arthropoda; Insecta; Diptera; Culicidae
Exons: 3
Source: RefSeq, marked validated